CAAUAGCGUAUAUUAAAGUUGUUGCAGUUAAAAAGCUCGUAGUCGGAUUUCAACCACAGCUGUGCGGUCCGCUGAGUGCGGCUACUGCACGGUUGGGUCUCUCAUCUGGUCUGUCCCAUGCUACUCUUCAGUGAGUGGCAUGGGUAGCCGGAACGUUUACUUUGAGAAAAUCAGCGUGCUCAAAGCAGGCUUACUGCUCGAAUAGUAGUGCAUGGAAUGAUAGAAUAGGACCUUCGGCCCUAUUUGUUGGUUUUUGGACCGAGGUAAUGGUUAAUAGAGACAGACGGGGGCAUUCGUACUGCGGUGUUAGAGGUGAAAUUCGAAGAUCGCCGCAAGACGAACAACAGCGAAAGCAUUUGCCAUGGAUGUUUUCAUUGA
RNAcentral lists this ribosomal RNA (378 nucleotides) under uncultured eukaryote. Its description in RNAcentral is "partial 18S ribosomal RNA". It matches the Rfam family "Eukaryotic small subunit ribosomal RNA", at positions 592 to 976 of the family's 1831-position model. The record is from RNAcentral.